AUAGCUGAAUAUUCAUAUUUAGAUAUUUUAUGUAUAUUAGGACAAUUUUGAGUCGAUUUAACCAAGGAUGACGAGAGAUGAACAAGGAUGAACAACUCUGAAGAGAAUUCUUGUCCAGGGUGAAAUGCAAAAAAUCUACAUACAUCAAGUAGAACUGAAAACAAAGAAUAUUGAACUAUUGCAAUAUGUUAGCUGUUUCCAUCGUUGCCAUCAUGGUAUAGUGGUAAAGACUGAGGCCAUCAUGAGCGAACGUUGUGGACCGUCUCCAGGUAAGACUCUCGCAACUUUUCGUAUAAUUUUUCUUUAUUUCUUUUUACCAUUAUUUUUCCAAAAAUGUUUCUAAAUCGCACCUCCUAACAGCUGAAUAUUCAUUUUUAGAUAUUUUUUUUUAUAUUAGGACAAUUUUGAGUCGAUUUAACCAAGGAUGACGAGAGAUGAACAAAGAUGAACAACUCUGAAGAGAAUUCUUGUCCAGGGUGAAAUGCAAAAAAUCUACAUACAUCAAGUAGAACUGAAAACAAAGAAUAUUGAACUAUUGCAAUAUGUUAGAUGUUUCCAUCGUUGCCAUCAUGGUCUAGUGGUAAAGACUGAGGCCAUCAUGGUCUAGUGGUAAAGACUGAGGCCAUCAUGAGCGAACGUUGUGGACCGUCUCCAGGUAAGACUCUCGUAACUUUUCGUAUAAUUUUUCUUUAUUUUGUUUUUGCCAUUAUUUUUCCAAAAAUGUCUCUAAAUCGCACCUCCUAACAGCUGAAUAUUCAUUUUUAGAUAUUUUUUUGUAUAUUACGACAAUUUUGAGUCCAUUUAACCAAGGAUGACGAGAGAUGAACAAGGAUGAACAACUCUGAAGAGAAUUCUUGUCCAGGGUGAAAUGCAAAAAAUCUAAAUACAUCAAGUAGAACUGAAAACAAAGAAUAUUGAACUAUUGCAAUAUGUUAGCUGUUUCCAUCGUUGCCAUCAUGGUAUAGUGGUAAAGACUGAGGCCAUCAUGAGCGAACGUUGUGGACCGUCUCCAGGUAAAACUCUCGUAACUUUUCGUAUAAUUUAUCUUUAUUUCUUUUUGCCAUUAUUUUUCCAAAAAUGUCUCCAAAUCGCACCUCCUAACAGCCGAAUAUUCAUUUUUUGAUAAUUUUUUGUAUAUUAGGACAAUUUUGAGUCGAUUUAACCAAGGAUGACGAGAGAUGAACAAGGAUGAACAACUCUGAAGAGAAUUCUUGUCCAGGGUGAAAUGCAAAAAAUCUACAUACAUCAAGUAGAACUGAAAACAAAGAAUAUUGAACUAUUGCAAUAUGUUACCUGUUUCCAUCGUUGCCAUCAUGGUCUAGUGGUAAAGACUGAGGCCAUCAUGGUCUAGUGGUAAAGACUGAGGCCAUCAUGAGCGAAUGUUGUGGACCGUCUCCAGGUAAGACUCUCGUACCUUUUCGUAUCAUUUUUCUUUAUUUCUUUUUGCCAUUAUUUUUCCAAAAAUGUCUCUAAAUCGCUCCUCCUAACAGCUGAAUAUUCAUUUUUUGAUAUUUCUUUGUAUAUUAGGACAAUUUUGAGUCGAUUUAACCAAGGAUGACGAGAGAUGAACAAGGAUGAACAACUCUGAAGAGAAUUCUUGUCCAGGGUGAAAUGCAAAAAAUCUACAUACAUCAAGUAGAACUGAAAACAAAGAAUAUUGAACUAUUGCAAUAUGUUAGCUAUUUCCAUCGUUGCCAUCAUGGUAUAGUGGUAAAGACUGAGGCCAUCAUGAGCUAACGUUGUGGACCGUCUCCAGGUAAGACUCUCGUAACUUUUCGUAUAAUUUUUCUUUAUUUCUUUUUGCCAUUAUUUUUCCAAAAAUGUCUCUAAAUCGCACCUCCUAACAGCUG
Molecule: long non-coding RNA, 1850 nt
Filed under: Paramuricea clavata
Lineage: Eukaryota; Metazoa; Cnidaria; Anthozoa; Malacalcyonacea; Plexauridae
Source: RNAcentral